UAUUCCCGUUCAGAGCAUGAAUCUGGUGGCUAGAUAUGACUUUGCUCAUGUUUCUUCCACCUUUGAUGAUCUUUCCUUGUUCUUCAAUGAACAUGGAUGAAGGGAAUAUGUUCUGAGUGGA
RNAcentral lists this small nucleolar RNA (121 nucleotides) under Salmo salar (Atlantic salmon). RNAcentral's name for it is "Small nucleolar RNA U3". It matches the Rfam family "Small nucleolar RNA U3", at positions 96 to 219 of the family's 219-position model. Rfam says of the family: Small nucleolar RNAs (snoRNAs) are involved in the processing and modification of rRNA in the nucleolus. There are two main classes of snoRNAs: the box C/D class, and the box H/ACA class. Lineage: Eukaryota; Metazoa; Chordata; Actinopteri; Salmoniformes; Salmonidae. The record is from Rfam by way of RNAcentral.